This is an RNA transcript of Prunus dulcis (almond), 928 nucleotides long. It is a transcript of the gene named cell division topological specificity factor homolog, chloroplastic-like, with no coding region annotated. NCBI's taxonomy places the organism in Eukaryota, Viridiplantae, Streptophyta, Magnoliopsida, Rosales, Rosaceae. The transcript has 2 exons. The record is from RefSeq and is a predicted model, not a curated record.
UCUUCAGCUGUGAGCCUGUGAGAGAAACAAAACCCAGUUCAUAUAAUUUCUGAAGAUAAAUGGCGAUUUCUGGUGAAUUGAGGAUCUCUGCAAUAUUGGGUUCUUGCCCUUUUAAGCACCACUCUCUGGGAAGCCCUCUCAAGCCCUCCAAGGUAACAUUGAAGGGUUUUAAUGGAGGAGGUAGUUCACGGGUGAUGAUCCAAACGUCCUUAAAUCUGGAAGGCUACAAGUCUAAGUGCCAGUGUAGACAAACGUUUGGGAUUGCAGAAAACAGUGAACCUUUUCCCGGACCUCUAAGCCAAGAAACAGAGGGCUUUCUCCUCCGUUCUAUAAACAUGAGCUUUUUUGAGCGUUUAAACUUGGCAUGGAAGAUAGUGUUCCCUUCACCAUCGACAAGAAGGAAUUCUAAUGCAAAGAUUGCCAAGCAGCGGUUGCAGAUGAUCCUCUUCUCAGAUCGAUGCGCAGUAACUGAUGACGCGAAGGAGAAGAUUGUGAGCAACAUUGUUGGUGCUCUAUCCGAUUUCGUGGAAAUAGAGUCACAGGAUAAUGUCCAGCUUAGUGUCUCAACAGAUGAAGACCUAGGCACAGUGUAUUCUGUUACAAUCCCUGUUCGGCGUGUGAAGCCUGAAUAUCAUCAAGAUGAGGAUGAUGUUGGGGUCAUAACCAAUGAUGAGUACAAGGAUAUUGGGGAACACAUUGGAUCUUACUGAUAUGAAGUUUGAUUUCCACAUCCCUAACAACUCUCUCUCUCUGUGUUUUUAGCAUUAUUACAUUUCAUGGUAGAGCAGCUUUUAACUAAUUAGUCUCAUAUGAUUCUAUAUUGCUCAUGCUGUAAUCAAAGAGCAAUUAAGGGAGUUCAUCUCAUCCUCUUUCCAUAGCCAUUCUCGAUAUUCAUGUCACCUCAAGAUUCUCUCUCAUUUUUUGGUCA